UACGUAGGGGGCUAGCGUUGUCCGGAAUCAUUGGGCGUAAAGCGCGUGUAGGCGGCCCGGUAAGUCCGCUGUGAAAGUCGGGGGCUCAACCCUCGAAUGCCGGUGGAUACUGUCGGGCUCGAGUGCGGAAGAGGCGAGUGGAAUUCCUGGUGUAGCGGUGAAAUGCGCAGAUAUCAGGAGGAACACCUAUUGCGAAGGCAGCUCGCUGGGACGUAACUGACGCUGAGACGCGAAAGCGUGGGGAGCAAACAGG
Molecule: ribosomal RNA, 253 nt
Filed under: uncultured bacterium
Lineage: Bacteria
Description: partial 16S ribosomal RNA
Rfam family: Bacterial small subunit ribosomal RNA
Source: RNAcentral